UUUUCCUCCCAUCUUUCCUAACUACUUCGCCUCUCCAUCCUGGCGGCGACUCACGACCUCCCCAUCAACUUCUCCGUCUAGGACAAAGAUGGCUCCAGGGGGGAAGGGAUCACGAUGCAGAAUGGAACUCUCAGCAGAGAGAUUCCUGCAAAUAAAGUUAGGACUACAUCGCCAGUGUCAUUAUGACUGAUGAUCAAUGGAGGGAUUUGGUACAAAUGUGGUCUACCCCAAACCAUAAGGAAUUAUGUUGAAAAGUUUAGCUCCCUGUAAAGUAUUCUACAGAAGUUGUUUCCAAUGUGGUGUUGGUUUCAAGUAAAUUUCUUCGCAAUGCUGGUCUUGUGUCCUCCAAGAGAAGCAACAUAAGGACAGUUUCAACAAUGAUGCAAGAGAUUUAGUCUCAAUUGGACACUGAGAGACAAGAAAAGAUGGACUUUGAGAAGAAAUGAAAACCUUAAAGGCCAAGUCACAAGCAUCCGAGGCAACCAUUGCUAAUCAAUCUACUGAAAUUGCAGAUUUGAAGAAGUCCUUAGCAGAAAAUACCAGUAUUCUUCGACAAAGAUUAAGUAUCAGUCGUAGUCAGAUGACUCCUUAAGUAUGCUUGCCAAGGUGUUGGUGUCAACCAUCCUGAAGAUCCAUCUCACAGAACUUUGCACCUCUUUUUAUCCUUAUGCUUGUUGUAUAGAACUACAACUUCUGGCUAUUAUAUGUGUUCUCUUAAUAUUUGUUAGGUUAAAGGAUUAUGAACCAUGUUCUUUUAUGUGAUUGACAUAUUAUGCUUG
RNA transcript from Zea mays, 779 nucleotides. RefSeq lists it as uncharacterized. The transcript is spliced from 3 exons. Lineage: Eukaryota; Viridiplantae; Streptophyta; Magnoliopsida; Poales; Poaceae. The record is from RefSeq and is marked validated.